GACGCAGUUCUGUCUGUAGGGUUUGCCUGUAAAGGAACACACAGUUCGGCCGGUACAUACAUACAGAGGUUAAGGCCUGACUUCUGCUCCCAGUCGACCCAGUCGACCCGGGUUCAAAUCCGCCUGCCGGCUCCUCGGGUGUUUGAGGAGUGAUGAAAUGGGAGGUGGCCCCCCAUCUUAUGGACGGUGUAGGACGUGAUAAUAUCAACUUGCGAGCUGACCAGGAACUAAGUUGAUGCGCCGUUGAUCCGCUAGAUUUGGUUGGAUGCUGGUGGUGAGUUGCUGAACCCAACGAAUACGCUCUGAAGUCGGAUGGGGUGACGGAUUAGGGUGCCCCUCUAGCAGGGGAGAGCAGGGACUGCCCCGGGAAAGGGGGCCGCUGGCGAAGUUAACCACCCUGUAACAACAUACAGACACAGGCAGGCGGCUGGCAGAAGUUAAGGCCUGACUUCUGCUCCCUGUCGAUCCAGUCGACCCGGGUUCAAAUCCGCCUGCCAGCUCCUCGGGUGUUUGAGGAGUGAUGAAAUGGGAGGUGGCCCCCCAUCACAUGGACGGUGUAGGACGUGAUAAUAUCAACUUGCGAGCUGACCAGGAACUAAGUUGAUGCACCGUUGAUCCGCUAGAUUUGGUUGGAUGCUGGUGGUGAGUUGCCGAACCCAACGAAUACAUUCUGAAGUCGGAUGGGGUGACGGAUUAGGGUGCCCCUCUAGCAGGGGAGAGCAGGGACUGCCCCGGGAAAGGGGGCCGCUGGCGAAGUUAAUCACCCUGUAACAACAUAC
Molecule: long non-coding RNA, 779 nt
Filed under: Volvox carteri
Lineage: Eukaryota; Viridiplantae; Chlorophyta; Chlorophyceae; Chlamydomonadales; Volvocaceae
Description: long non-coding RNA (VCAR_LNC003624)
Source: RNAcentral